UUGAAGAAAAUUCUCUUGACUAUUUGAACGGACUAUGGAAAGAUGCAGGUAUCUCUCAUUGGUCCAGUGGAUGACAGAUUGAUCGAAAGACAAUGUCUAACCUAUGAAUUUACUUUUUCGUACGUACCUGCGUUACGACUUGUGAUAGGUUGGGUUAGGUUGCGUAGUCGAUUCCAUCACAGGCGACACUCGUUUGCAUAUCGAGGAUCCGAUUAAAAUAAAUUAGCCAAAGUGUCUCCGGCUAUUCCAUCCAGUCACUCCCGCAAAAUGCCUUUGUUAGACUCCCCCUCGUGAAAACAACUUUACUCUAAAAACGUCACGAACCUCCCUUUUACUCGUGACGGAGACGGAGGACGAAAGGCGGAGAAAUGGCGGAAAGUUGAGAAGAGACGGUGAAGAAAAUGUACGAGGAAGGUGCGAGAGAGACCGAGAGAGAAAUUCUUUGAGUGUUUCGCGCUAACCUAUUGUCGGAUGUAAAGGAGAGUGAAGUCUCGUUUCACGGAGUAAAAAAAGUUCAUGAAAACAAAUGAAGUCGAUGUCUUUGUACCUUGACGAAAUGUAACUUCUUAAUUAAACUUUUUUCGAAUUUAUUUUUUCUUUCUAUCCCCUUGAAUUGCGAAUAUUUCUUAUCCGCUAUGUGAGAAUUUUCUUUUGCGACUAAAUUCAAAUUUUGUCGAUCAUCCAAACACGUUUAUAAUCCAAAAUACGCUUUUUCAAAUUUCGUUAAGGUUCUUAAAAUUAAUCUAAAUAAUUCUUUAUCUCGUUACCUAACCUCUGUAAGAAUUUCAUGAUCGCGCAGCAGAAUGCAAGUGGUCCAUCUUCUGGAUGAUUUAUCUAGACGUGAAAUUAACAUUUUUCUUUACGUAAAACGCUUAACGAGAAAGUAAAAAGGGUGCGCUUUUCAUUAAACGCCAAGGAAAUUAAGUAAUGAAGGGUACAAGAGUGUAGGGUGAAACACGUUCGAUAGUACGACACGUACCAUGGUCUACCAUCAGGGGUAGGUUACCUCCACCCGAAAAUUGUCUGCCGUUCGUGGAGGAAAGUCUCACGACGAGUUCAGCGUCAAGGAUGGAGAUUGUCCAUACGUCGAUACUACCCGAGAGGGUUGGAACAUCCCCCUGUUCGAUAAAGCUGUCACUACACAAGGUUAUUCGAGCCCGAGUCUACAAGAUCUUGAGUAAAAUCUCUCCGCAGUCCAAAGGUAUCAUCCACUAUCGACACCACGUAGCAGGACUGAAACCCUUGAGAAAAAAUCCUAUCCAUGAUCCCCAAGGAAAAAGGUAUCCUCGUAACACAAUCAUUGCUGCCAACCUCCUAAAACAUAUUUGAAAGCCCACUCCGUAUCUCUCAUCAGAUGCCACCCUUUGCAAUUGGGACAAGAAUUCCCUAUAAAAAGAAAAUUUCAAAGACCCAGUAACAAGCAGACUGUCAAUCAAAUAAAUUUAAGAGACAGGGAAAGUGUAAAGUGAAAAAGAGGAUGACUUAUUAUUAAAUAAAUAAAAAAGGUAAAAAUCACUCGUAAU
This is a long non-coding RNA of Cephus cinctus (wheat stem sawfly), 1523 nucleotides long. RefSeq lists it as uncharacterized. The record is from RefSeq and is a predicted model, not a curated record. The transcript is spliced from 3 exons. Lineage: Eukaryota; Metazoa; Arthropoda; Insecta; Hymenoptera; Cephidae.